Molecule: ribosomal RNA, 529 nt
Filed under: uncultured Anaerolinea sp.
Lineage: Bacteria; Bacillati; Chloroflexota; Anaerolineae; Anaerolineales; Anaerolineaceae
Description: bacterial SSU rRNA
Rfam family: Bacterial small subunit ribosomal RNA
Source: RNAcentral
GGGAAUGCCCUCGCGUGUGCCUGGAGAUUAGAGUUUGAUCCUGGCUCAGGAUGAACGCUGGCGGCGUGCUUAACACAUGCAAGUUGAACGUGAAGCCCUGUACCUAGUACGUGGGUGGAAAGUGGCGGACGGGUGAGUAACACGUUGGUGACCAACCCUGAGGAGGGGGAUAACCGUAGGAAACUUCGGCUAAUACCCCAGAUGUCUAGGUUGCUAGAAGACCUAGACUAAAGCUCCGGCGCCUCGGGACGGGCCUGCGGGCUAUCAGCUAGUUGGUGGGGUAAUGGCCUACCAAGGCUAAGACGGCUAGGGGGCGUGAGAGCGCGACCCCCCACAAUGGAACUGAGACACGGUCCAUACUCCUACGGGAGGCAGCAGUGAGGAAUAUUGCGCAAUGGGGGCAACCCUGACGCAGCAACGCCGCGUGGACGAUGAAGGCCUUCGGGUUGUAAAGUCCUUUUCUGAGGGAAGAUAAUGACGGUACCUCAGGAAUAAGUCCCGGCUAACUACGUGCCAGCCGCCGCGGUAA